UGUAUCUCAAUUUGAUUUAUUUACGAAUCAUUUUUAUUUAUUUAUUUUAUUUUUUCAGAAGAGAGAAUUAUUUAUUUAUGUAUUGGCUUUUCUGAAUUUAUGGAAUGUUUCAUGGAUAUGUUUCAGUACAAUUUCACAAAACCUCUAUGAGACAAUGGAAAGUCAGGGAUAGUUGUCGGGUGGGGAAAAGAAACAUAAAAUUUAAUAAGUAUCUAUAAAUUUAGGAUAAUCAAAUCUGAUACUCAUUACAUGAAUUUCAGAGUGCCUUUUAUUACCUGGUACUUCACAUGUUCAAAACAGAUCUCAUUUUGAUUCCAGCUGCGAAUCCUCAACAGUUCAGUCUUCAAGAUCUCCAGAUAUGCUGGAAGGGGGGGCCGUUACCUCUGUUCCGAAAGAGGAACCAAUCCACUGUGAAGGACGCAGCACUCCCGAGCAGGAAAGACAUUGCACAUUCAGAGAGAUGUUGCAUGUGAAGACACUGCAAAAAAGAAAAAAA
Molecule: long non-coding RNA, 496 nt
Filed under: Strigops habroptila (Kakapo)
Lineage: Eukaryota; Metazoa; Chordata; Aves; Psittaciformes; Psittacidae
Description: lncRNA (ENSSHBG00005018080.1)
Source: RNAcentral